This 119-nucleotide ribosomal RNA is filed under the name Chrysosporum bergii ANA360D. RNAcentral describes it as "partial 16S ribosomal RNA". It matches the Rfam family "Bacterial small subunit ribosomal RNA", at positions 1417 to 1533 of the family's 1533-position model. The record is from RNAcentral. Lineage: Bacteria; Bacillati; Cyanobacteriota; Cyanophyceae; Nostocales; Nodulariaceae.
ACGCCCGAAGUCGUUACCCCAACUCUAAGGAGAGGGGGAUGCCGAAGGCAGGACUGGUGACUGGGGUGAAGUCGUAACAAGGUAGCCGUACCGGAAGGUGUGGCUGGAUCACCUCCUUU